Molecule: ribosomal RNA, 440 nt
Filed under: uncultured bacterium
Lineage: Bacteria
Description: partial 16S ribosomal RNA
Rfam family: Bacterial small subunit ribosomal RNA
Source: RNAcentral
CCUACGGGAGGCAGCAGUGGGGAAUAUUGCACAAUGGGGGGAACCCUGAUGCAGCGACGCCGCGUGAGUGAAGAAGUAUUUCGGUAUGUAAAGCUCUAUCAGCAGGGAAGAAAAUGACGGUACCUGACUAAGAAGCCCCGGCUACCUACGUGCCAGCAGCCGCGGUCAUACUGCGGGGGCAAGCGUUAUCCGGAUUUACUGGGUGUAAAGGGAGCGCAGACGGCUGUGCAAGUCUGGAGGGAAAGGCGGGGGCCCAACCCCCGGACUGCGCUGGAAACUGUAAAGCUGGAGUGGAGGAGAGGUAAGCGGAAGUCCUGGUGUAGCGGUGAAAUGCGUAGAUAUUAGGAGGAACACCAGUGGCGAAGGCGGCUUACUGGACUGCAACUGACGUUGAGGCUCGAAAGCGUGGGGAGCAAACAGGAUUAGAUACCCGGGUAGUC